AUAGAAAAGCAUAGCGCGUUUGAAUCCGCACAUGCGCGUUUGGACAAGUCUAACUGCGCACUUUGGAUCUGAGACGAGACGAAUUGGCGGGCUGCUGCGUGGCUGCUUUCUGUCGUGUUUGAGAUCAAGGAGGAAUUCAGGAGAAUCGAUCAUGGGGCAGAGAUUCAUGUUCAGACUUGACCAAUGCACAUCAAGACUUAUUGCCCUGAUGAAGGCCAUGGGAGGUGUUGUGGGGACCAACUGAGGCCAUUUCUGGACAAACUGAGUCAGACACAAAGCCUUGAGAUGGGAAUCAGUUAUCCGCAGCCUCAUUCUCUACUUUGACGAUAAAGAAGAUGAUAAACUGUGUUUUGAAGAUGAACAGAGUUCUGACGGGCUCGGGACGACAUGAGGGAGGACAGCGGCAGUGACAUCACUCAGCACAGCAUUAAAAUACUGGUCGUUAGUGGUGCUGAUGGAGAAGAUCCAAUCGAUGUAUCCAUCCUUUUUGAAGGGAAGGAAAUGCUGGAAGCAGCAAUACCGUAAAGACAGUUUUACUGAAUGCACCUGUGUCAAGAGAUGACUGAAUGUCCAUUCUUGUAUGAACAUUUUUGAUGACUGAAAAAUAAACUGUUUAAUUGAA
Molecule: non-coding RNA, 622 nt
Organism: Pimephales promelas (fathead minnow)
Lineage: Eukaryota; Metazoa; Chordata; Actinopteri; Cypriniformes; Leuciscidae
Source: RefSeq, a predicted model, not a curated record